UAGGGAAUCUUCCGCAAUGGGCGAAAGCCUGACGGAGCAACGCCGCGUGAGUGAUGAAGGUCUUCGGAUCGUAAAACUCUGUUAUUAGGGAAGAACAAAUGUGUAAGUAACUAUGCACGUCUUGACGGUACCUAAUCAGAAAGCCACGGCUAACUACGUGCCAGCAGCCGCGGGAAUACGUAGGUGGCAAACGUUAUCCGGAAUUAUUGGGCGUAAAGCGCGCGUAGGCGGUUUUUUAAGUAUGAGGUGAAAGCCCACGGCUCAACCGUGGAGGGUCAAUGGAAUCUGGAAAACUGGAGUGCAGAAGAGGAAAGUGGAAUUCCAGGUGUAGCGGUGAAAUGCGCAGAGAUAUGGGGGAACACCAGUGGCGAAGGCGACUUUCUGGUCUGUAACUGACGCUGAUGUGCGAAAGCGUGGGGAUCAAACAGG
RNAcentral lists this ribosomal RNA (429 nucleotides) under Actinomycetes bacterium. Its description in RNAcentral is "Actinobacteria bacterium partial 16S ribosomal RNA". It matches the Rfam family "Bacterial small subunit ribosomal RNA", at positions 355 to 776 of the family's 1533-position model. Lineage: Bacteria; Bacillati; Actinomycetota; Actinomycetes. The record is from RNAcentral.